This 292-nucleotide ribosomal RNA is filed under the name uncultured bacterium. Its description in RNAcentral is "partial 16S ribosomal RNA". It matches the Rfam family "Archaeal small subunit ribosomal RNA", at positions 455 to 747 of the family's 1478-position model. The record is from RNAcentral.
GUGCCAGCAGCCGCGGUCAUACCGGCAGCCCGAGUGAUGGCCGAUCUUAUUGGGCCUAAAGCGUCCGUAGCUGGCUGCGCAAGUCCGUCGGGAAAUCCACUCGCCCAACGAGUGGGCGUCCGACGGAAACUGCACAGCUUGGGACCGGAAGGCUCGAAGGGUACGUUCGGGGUAGGAGUGAAAUCCUGUAAUCCCGUCCGGACCACCGAUGGCGAAAGCACUUCGAGAAAACGGAUCCGACAGUGAGGGACGAAAGCCAGGGUCUCCAACCGGAUUAGAAACCCGGGUGUCC